This 705-nucleotide ribosomal RNA is filed under the name Acinetobacter baumannii. RNAcentral describes it as "bacterial SSU rRNA". It matches the Rfam family "Bacterial small subunit ribosomal RNA", at positions 617 to 1323 of the family's 1533-position model. Lineage: Bacteria; Pseudomonadati; Pseudomonadota; Gammaproteobacteria; Moraxellales; Moraxellaceae. The record is from RNAcentral.
GAUGUGUCAUUGGAAACUGGGAGCUUGAGUGCAGAAGAGGAGAGUGGAAUUCCAGGUGUAGCGGUGAAAUGCGUAGAGAUAUGGAGGAACACCAGUGGCGAAGGCGGCUUUCUGGUCUGUAACUGACGCUGAGGCUCGAAAGCGUGGGGAGCAAACAGGAUUAGAUACCCUGGUAGUCCACGCCGUAAACGAUGAGUGUUAGGUGUUGGAGGUUUUCAGCCCUUCAGUGCGGCAGUUAAGCCAUUAAGCACUCGCCUGGGGGAGUACGUCGCCAAGAUUGAAAUUCAAAGGAAUUGAGGGGGGCCCGCCCAAGCGGUGGACCAUGUGGUUUAAUUGGAAGCAACGGGAAGACCUUUCCCAGUUCUGACCAUCUUUUGACCCCCUAGGGAUAGGGGGUUCCCUUUGGGGGCAAAGGUGCCAGGUGGUGCAUGGUGUUGUUCAGCUCGGUUCGUGAGAUGUUGGGUUAAGUCCCGCAACGAGCGCAACCCUUAUCUUUAGUUGCCACCAUUCAGUUGGGCAUUUUAGCAAGACUCCCGUUGCCAACCCGGAGGAAGUCGGGGAUGACGUCAAAUCAUCAUGCCCCUUAUGCCUUGGGUUACACACGUGUUCCAAUGGUAGGUACAAGGGGUUGAUACCCCCAGAGGUUAACCCAUUCUAUUAAAGCCUUUUUCAGUUCGGAUUGCAGGCUGCAAUUCGCCUCCAUGA